CCGAUACUGCGUUUCCCCUCACAGAAGCCCUCCCAGCAAGGCACUGUUUGGCAAUGUGUAUGUGGGUGUGAAUGCCUCUCAUUCUCUCCUGCUCUUCUCUGCCAUUCCAGUGCUGAGUCUUGAACUUGGCAGCUGUUGGCUCUUCCACUGCAAAAGCCCAAGAUCUCCUGCCCCGUGAUUUGACUUGGGAUGACAGAGAGGAAAACAUGAACCAUAAAGUGCAGGUAAACAAACACAGUACAUGGUCUCAGUUUGCUCUGGUUGAAGAUCUGUUCCAUUACCUUCAGUGCCAAGACAGCUGGGAUCUUCUUAUCAUCCUUGUAUUGGGAUGACUGCAGCAAAGGCAUAAAACGCUCGCUUUCUUCAGGCAGCCCUGUGAAUAUCGUGCUCAUUUAAGAAGUAUGUAAAGAAGACAUCACCACUGGAUACAUGUUCUCUGGUAGCAAUCAAUGCACAGCAUAUGCUUUUGAUGAGGUUAGAUAACAAGCAUCACAUGGAGCAAGGAGUACCACGCACACACACCCUUCUGAAUAUGUCAGCAAUAAAAUGAGAACUACAAAGGUGAGCA
RNAcentral lists this long non-coding RNA (568 nucleotides) under Phasianus colchicus (ring-necked pheasant). RNAcentral's name for it is "lncRNA (ENSPCLG00000005607.1)". Lineage: Eukaryota; Metazoa; Chordata; Aves; Galliformes; Phasianidae. The record is from RNAcentral.